This 357-nucleotide unclassified non-coding RNA is filed under the name Ascomycota sp. RNAcentral describes it as "partial contains small subunit ribosomal RNA, internal transcribed spacer 1, and 5.8S ribosomal RNA". The stretch from base 1 to 47 matches the Rfam family "Eukaryotic small subunit ribosomal RNA", at positions 1785 to 1831 of the family's 1831-position model. Lineage: Eukaryota; Fungi; Ascomycota. The record is from RNAcentral.
AAAGUCGUAACAAGGUCUCCGUAGGUGAACCUGCGGAGGGAUCAUUAACACAGAAAAAAGGCAAAAGCGAUGCGGUCAAACGCAAACGUGGCCUCUUUUCUUAUCUCACCCAUCUCGCGUGAACUAUGAUGCCCACUCUGCAAGGCAGUGGCGGCGCUGCUGUGUCAUUCAUUUGGCACAUUUUGAUGCUGCUGCUGCUUUUUUUGCUAUUUUUUGCAAAACCUUUUCCAACACCAAUACCAACUGUUUUCUUUUAUUUUUGUUUUGUUCUCACUGUCACUAGUGUGAACUAAAGAAAAAUGUGAAAAAAACUAACGUAAAAAAGUACAACUCUUAGCAACGGAUAUCUUGGUUCUC